CUACGGGGCGCUGCAGUGGGGAAUAUUGCACAAUGGGCGCAAGCCUGAUGCAGCAACGCCGCGUGGAGGAUGACACUUUUCGGAGCGUAAACUCCUUUUAUAUAGGAAGAAGAUGACGGUACUAUAUGAAUAAGCGCCGGCUAACUCCGUGCCAGCAGCCGCGGUAAUACGGAGGGCGCAAGCGUUACUCGGAAUCACUGGGCGUAAAGAGCGUGUAGGCGGAUUAAAAAGUCAGAAGUGAAAUCCUAUAGCUUAACUAUAGAACUGCUUCUGAAACUCUUAAUCUAGAAUAUGGGAGAGGUAGAUGGAAUUUCUGGUGUAGGGGUAAAAUCCGUAGAGAUCAGAAGGAAUACCGAUUGCGAAGGCGAUCUACUAGAACAUUAUUGACGCUGAGACGCGAAAGCGUGGGGAGCAAACAGGAUUAGAUACCCCCGUAGUC
Molecule: ribosomal RNA, 439 nt
Filed under: uncultured bacterium
Lineage: Bacteria
Description: partial 16S ribosomal RNA
Rfam family: Bacterial small subunit ribosomal RNA
Source: RNAcentral